Podarcis lilfordi (Lilford's wall lizard) is the source of this 71-nucleotide non-coding RNA. The record is from the annotation of a GenBank genome assembly. Lineage: Eukaryota; Metazoa; Chordata; Lepidosauria; Squamata; Lacertidae.
GCAUCUCCAUCGGUAGUAGAGCGUGAGACUCUUAAUCUCAGGUUCGUGGGUUCAAGGCCCCAUGUUGGGCA